Macrobrachium nipponense is the source of this 835-nucleotide long non-coding RNA. RefSeq lists it as uncharacterized. The transcript is spliced from 3 exons. The record is from RefSeq and is a predicted model, not a curated record. Lineage: Eukaryota; Metazoa; Arthropoda; Malacostraca; Decapoda; Palaemonidae.
AACUGAGAGUAAGUAGAAUUUGAAAGGUUGAAAUAACUGGAGGCAAAACACGCAGUUACACGCUAAAAUAAUCGUUAGGAGGCGGCGGAUAGCAAGAUGGAAGAAAGUUAACAUGAAUGGACGUUACAACAAAAGGACGGAAAGGUGUUGCAGACUUGCAGUGGGGGCGAAGGGAUAUGCUGCAAAGAACCUUUCUACAAGGAACCUUAUGGUGCACUGAUGUCACUACCCUCCUACGGGUCUUCAAGCAGCAUAUAGUUAGUGGUCAACUGUUUCAAAUGCUGUGGUUGAGCUGAUAAUGGGACGAAGAGGGAAAUCUCUUCAUAGGUCUUGAUUAAUCCUACACGUAAGCAACGGGACCUACGGCUUUACGUGACUUCCGAACCACGUCGAGAGUGAACUUCUAUCACCAGAAAUACACAACUCACUCCUCAAUGGAAUGGCCGAGAAUCGAACCCGCGACCACCGCGGUGAGAAGCAAACACCAAACCAACCACGCCACUGAGGCGCUCUAACGAAUAAUGGCAUCAUGGAUCAUUGGCUUAAGAAAGGCUGUGCUAUUAACUGUGGAUAAUUCCUUGAUAAUCUACAGGGUCAAAGAUCACCACAAUAGGAAUCUGUUGGAAUCCAUUGUUAUUGAAGCCACAUCAACAAGGAAUUAAACCUCCAUCCUGGAUGGUCCCUUGAUCCUCUUUCCUUGACUCUUUUGCUUAAAGAACAUGCCGCCCAGAUUAACAAACGGUAACCCUGACCCCCUUUUCUGAUUUUGUAUAUAAAGGUCUGUCAAAUUCCCUUAUAUUCAGUGUGAACUUGAAAAUACUGAAUAAACUACAAA